This 1163-nucleotide ribosomal RNA is filed under the name Nodosilinea cf. foveolarum ULC072. RNAcentral describes it as "bacterial SSU rRNA". It matches the Rfam family "Bacterial small subunit ribosomal RNA", at positions 356 to 1533 of the family's 1533-position model. Lineage: Bacteria; Bacillati; Cyanobacteriota; Cyanophyceae; Nodosilineales; Nodosilineaceae. The record is from RNAcentral.
GGGGAAUUUUCCGCAAUGGGCGAAAGCCUGACGGAGCAAUACCGCGUGAGGGAGGACGGCUUUUGGGUUGUAAACCUCUUUUAUCAGGGAAGAAUCGAUGACGGUACCUGAUGAAUCAGCAUCGGCUAACUCCGUGCCAGCAGCCGCGGUAAUACGGAGGAUGCAAGCGUUAUCCGGAAUUAUUGGGCGUAAAGCGUCCGUAGGUGGUUUAUCAAGUCUGCUGUCAAAGCGUGCGGCUUAACCGCAUAAGGGCAGUGGAAACUGAUGAACUAGAGUGCGAUAGGGGUAACAGGAAUUCCCAGUGUAGCGGUGAAAUGCGUAGAUAUUGGGAAGAACACCAGCGGCGAAAGCGUGUUACUGGGUCUGCACUGACACUGAGGGACGAAAGCUAGGGGAGCGAAAGGGAUUAGAUACCCCUGUAGUCCUAGCCGUAAACGAUGACAACUAGGCGUGGUUCGUAUCGACCCGAGCCGUGCCGUAGCCAACGCGUUAAGUUGUCCGCCUGGGGAGUACGCACGCAAGUGUGAAACUCAAAGGAAUUGACGGGGGCCCGCACAAGCGGUGGAGUAUGUGGUUUAAUUCGAUGCAACGCGAAGAACCUUACCAAGGCUUGACAUCCUCGGAACCCUGAUGAAAGUUAGGGGUGCCUUCGGGAGCCGAGAGACAGGUGGUGCAUGGCUGUCGUCAGCUCGUGUCGUGAGAUGUUGGGUUAAGUCCCGCAACGAGCGCAACCCACGUUUUUAGUUGCCAGCAUUCAGUUGGGCACUCUAGAGAGACUGCCGGUGACAAACCGGAGGAAGGUGUGGAUGACGUCAAGUCAGCAUGCCCCAUACGCCUUGGGCUACACACGUACUACAAUGCGUCGGACAAAGAGCAGCCAGCCAGCGAUGGUGAGCCAAUCUCAUAAACCGACGCUCAGUUCAGAUUGCAGGCUGCAACUCGCCUGCAUGAAGGCGGAAUCGCUAGUAAUCGCAGGUCAGCAUACUGCGGUGAAUACGUUCCCGGGCCUUGUACACACCGCCCGUCACACCAUGGGAGUUGGUCACGCCCGAAGUCGUUACUCUAACUGCUUGCAGAGGAGGACGCCGAAGGUGGGGCUGAUGACUGGGGUGAAGUCGUAACAAGGUAGCCGUACCGGAAGGUGUGGCUGGAUCACCUCCUUA